Mirounga angustirostris (Northern elephant seal) is the source of this 668-nucleotide long non-coding RNA. RefSeq lists it as uncharacterized. The record is from RefSeq and is a predicted model, not a curated record. Lineage: Eukaryota; Metazoa; Chordata; Mammalia; Carnivora; Phocidae. The transcript has 3 exons.
GUCCUGCUAGAAUGUGCUAGAAUAUCCCAAAGGAAAUGACGACACACUGAAGAAUUCUGAGUUUGGGGUGUGUGACACAAUCAAAUUUGCAUUUUAGAAACAGCACUGGCCACAGCUGGAGAAUGGAUCUGGCUGGGCUGCUUCCUUUGUUCCUCAGCAAGUCAACCCACACUGCGUAACAGAUGAAGGGGAGCUGCCAGGAGAGGAAAAUCUUUCUAAGGGACACCUGAAGAAAACGGAACUGAGCUUAAACUAUCUCUCUCCUCCUCCUCCCAUAUUCUGGAUUAUUCCAAACUCAGGGGGCGCAGAAAGUGAUCAGAAUAAGAACUACCGAUUUUUGUUUAUUUAUCUGAGAGAGAAUGAGAGACAGAGAGCACGAGAGGGAAGAGGGUCAGAGGAAGAAGCAGGCUCCCUGCUGAGCAGGGAGCCCGAUGCGGGACUCGAUCCCGGGACUCCAGGAUCAUGACCUGAGCCGAAGGCAGUCGCUUAACCAACUGAGCCACCCAGGCGCCCUUACUGUACUAUUUUAAAUGAAUAUAAUUUACUUAGGAUAAAUAAUGUCACUAAUCUAGUAAAAUUCUACAUUUUCUCCUGCAAACUGGUUUCUGAAUACUAAUUUUUCCGGCUCCUUUUGUGUACUCUUCAUCUGUUUCACUUACAAGGAACAA